GCGCCAGGGCUGGGGUGAAACAUGUUCCCCGAUUCUUCCCGAAGGCCCCGCCUUCUGUUACAUCAGGGACUUGGCUGCUUUGACCCAGAGGGGCUGGGGGAGGCUGGCCGGACUGAGAGCACGCCCUGGGAAGAUGUCCCAGCCCGAAGAGCAGACUCCUGAAGGAGGGUCUCAGACCGCCUGUGGGCCUUGAGCACCUGCACACAGACCUGGGCCCAGUCCUGAGGACUGCUCAGUGCACUUAACCUGCUGUCUCUCAGUCACACAGGCGGCCCCAGAGUGAGGCCUUGGAGCGAGCGAUGGCAUGUUCGGUAAGAGGCAUCUGUCUCUAAGGGGACAAGACAGGACGGCUAACGGCUGGAGGAGACCCUGCUCCUGUUGCUGAGCCCUGCAACCAGGCGGGCAGGGAGAGCUCUGGAUGCCUGGCUCACAGCCUCCUCAGGUGCAGCGAAGGCCACCGGGGGCCCCUCACCGGUGUGCAGCCAGAGUGUCCCCAGGGUCUCUGCAGCAGACCUGAAGACCACCCACAGGGAAUCUCCAGACUGAAUUUCUCAAAGGCCUCUUGAGGCCGAAGAACCAAGGCAAGGACUCGCUGUCAGACUCUUCCUGCAAUUCACUUAAUGCAGAUUUGGAACAGGGAGGGCCCAGUGCGGGGAGAGCCAGGCGCGAACACCAAGACCUGCGGUGGAGAAAUACUGGCCAUUUUACUGUUGAACGGCUCCAUCCCGGACAAUGGGAAGCUAACACCCCAAAGCCUGAACUCUGCAGUGGCCUCUGCAGAAACUCGCUGAUUGCAGGAACCUGUGGGUGCAGACCGGGGGCCAGGACGAAAGCAGGAGCCGGCUGCCCAGCGCCUCCCAGGUCUACACCCUGGGGGCUGGCUGCCCCUGAGCCUCCUCAUCUUGAAGGGACACACGUUUUUGGCCACAGGGCCAGGCAUUCAGUGCACCUGAGAGAUGACGGUGAAGCUCACUGCCCAUGUUUCUGUGCGGACAAAUGUAAGAGCAAUUUAGGAGGCUCAGCUUAGCCAAGAACAGUGUCGGCUGGAUUCCACACAGGAUGAUAGAAAAGCAAAAUGGUGAUGAUGGUUCAAAAUCUUGUUAUUGAAGAAAGAAAACCAGAUGACCAGCCGGGGAAGCUUCCCAAAACCUUAUUUAAUGAAAAAAUAGCCCCGACUUCUGGGAUCUUGUCUACAAGGUGCUGAAGGGCCCGCGUGGGCAUCUCCAGAUGGUCACGUGUGCGAUUUGAGACUCUGCUGUGGCCGGAGACAGCCGCUGUGGCGUGCACAGUGCCGUGAUCCUGCAGAGGAAGCGUCAGGAACGUCAGCCCACAGGUGCCAGACUUUUCUGAAGGUUAGAAAACAAAGUUGGUCGCCAUAUGUUAGGACUUCCGACGGACCAGCCAGAAUGGCUCCCUCUCCUGGGGUGGGCAGUGCGUGU
Long non-coding RNA from Artibeus jamaicensis (Jamaican fruit-eating bat), 1439 nucleotides. RefSeq lists it as uncharacterized. The transcript has 7 exons. NCBI's taxonomy places the organism in Eukaryota, Metazoa, Chordata, Mammalia, Chiroptera, Phyllostomidae. The record is from RefSeq and is a predicted model, not a curated record.